CCACUUGCAAAUCGAUGAAUUUCAAUCUAAAUGUGAGAUGUUCCAUUUGGAACUAUGGACAUAAACGCGCUCGUAAUAAGCGGAUCGGACCCGGGGGCGGUACCCGG
This 107-nucleotide transfer-messenger RNA is filed under the name Roseovarius sp. RNAcentral's name for it is "partial transfer-messenger RNA". It matches the Rfam family "Alphaproteobacteria transfer-messenger RNA", at positions 1 to 108 of the family's 355-position model. Rfam says of the family: Bacterial tmRNA, also known as 10Sa RNA or SsrA, is named for its dual tRNA and mRNA-like properties. Its role is to liberate the mRNA from a stalled ribosome. Lineage: Bacteria; Pseudomonadati; Pseudomonadota; Alphaproteobacteria; Rhodobacterales; Roseobacteraceae. The record is from RNAcentral.